GGUCGCGUAGCUCAGUUGGUAGAGCAACUGACUUUUAAUCAGUGGGUCGAAGGUUCGAAUCCUUCCGCGAUCACCA
Molecule: transfer RNA, 76 nt
Filed under: Fidelibacterota bacterium CG1_02_48_14
Lineage: Bacteria; Pseudomonadati; Fidelibacterota
Also listed under: 2 other names
Description: Candidatus Marinimicrobia bacterium CG1_02_48_14 tRNA-Lys
Rfam family: tRNA
About the family: Transfer RNA (tRNA) molecules are approximately 80 nucleotides in length. Their secondary structure includes four short double-helical elements and three loops (D, anti-codon, and T loops).
Source: RNAcentral